Molecule: long non-coding RNA, 2363 nt
Organism: Fukomys damarensis (Damara mole-rat)
Lineage: Eukaryota; Metazoa; Chordata; Mammalia; Rodentia; Bathyergidae
Exons: 4
Source: RefSeq, a predicted model, not a curated record
UCCUGUCCGCCCGGGCGGCUUCGCACCUGAGUGCCACCUUGCGGCGCUGCAGCGCGCCUCCCGCCUCAGCCUGCAGGGACAGACGCUGCUCCCGGGGUCGCCUCAGGCCCAGUCUGAGCCUUGGGAAAGCAUCGUGGUGACCAGCGUCCUCCCCACCUCGCCCAGGAGUUCUCACGCCAGGGCUCGGGCCUUGACGCUCCCCCUCGGAGCGGCCCUGGUCGGGGUGCGAGGUCCCCCCUUACGGGGAUCUUGGGGCUCGGCCUCCCUACCUAGGGCGGCAGAGUGCUCCAGAUCCCCGUCCUCACCUCGUUCCAUCCCUCACCCCUCUAACUUUCUACCUCUGACCUUUUCCCCUCUUCCUGGCCCCCAUCGGUGAAGGCGAUGGCCGGCUUCCCCCUCCUUCGCAGGGAACUUCUUCAGCUUCUCGUGCGUGCGGGAUGUCGGGAGGGUCAGAAGUGGGGUCCCGGCUGGCACUGCCGCCUCCUCCCCUUUCCAGGCUGCGCCCCACAGCGUGGCCUCAGGAUGGGAGGUCCGGGAGGGUAGGGGGCCACCAGCUGAUGUUGGGGGAACCCACAUAGGAAGGGAGGACCCCAGCCUCCCUCACCUCAGUGUGGCCGGGGCUACCUGGCCCUGGGGUGUGGCUGUCGCUGGGAUAUCUCUCUGUCUCCGGCAUCCCACAGGGAUCCCAUCCUCCCCAGGGACUGCAGUGAGGGGACAGGCCGGGGCCACCAGAAGCAGGUGGUGGUGCUCACUGCACCGUGGCCAACAGCCGGGACAGGAGGGCAGGACGGACAGGAGCCUGGCACUCAGUGGCGGUGGGGCAAAAGAGCUGCAGCGUGUAGCAUCCAGGAGGCUGUGCAGCUGCCUUGCCAGGGCCAGGGGCUUCACAGAACCAGGGCCUGUGACCCCCAGUUCCUGGCAGCAGUGAGGGGGAGAGGAAGCAGCUACGCCCACAGUCCAGCCUGCUCCAUGGGUUGGCACCAGCCAGGCACCGCAGGAGGGGCCUAGCGGACCAGGGACUGUUCCAGCCUCCUGCGAUGAGCAUCUUCCCCCACCGAGUUGUGACUUGGGGUCGCCACUGCGUGGGCCGAGGGAAGGGUCCAGGGAGAAAAGCCACCACGGGCCAAGGUGGCAGAGGGGCCAUCCACAUCCACGGUCAUCUCCACAGCCCUGGGCAGCCCUGCCAAAAGGAGAGGUUGUUCAUCAGGCCAUCUUCGAUGGCAGCUGUUCAAACAUCCUUCAAAGCAGUCUGGACAUCUGGACAGAGACUGCAUCUCUGGCAGCUGGAGGUGGCAGCAGCUGUCUCUGGCGUCUAAGUAGGAGGUGCUGGCAAGCUUUCUGGACAGUCCCUGAUUUGUGGUAGGAGAGGGGGCCAAGCCUGCCUUCUCCUGCUUUGAACACGGCAUGGGCCACUUCCAGCAUCCAAGGACCACAGGGCCAACCAGGCAGAAAGGCAAAGUUGAGAAUGUCACUGAAGGGUGGGGACCAGUCACAGCGACCAAAACGAAACAAAUCCCUGAAACCUUGGCCUGGAUGCCGCGGUGCUGCUCGGCGGAACCUGGCAGGGGCCUGGCUUGCCAUCCAGUGUGUGGGAAAGACGAGAAUACAGCAGCUUAAAAAGCCACUCGUGCCGGGCGCACCCAGGCCCCUCCUGGUGUCAUCCUGCGGAUGAAGGGUUCCUGCAGCACCUGCCCUGGGAGCUCUGGCACCCAGGCGUUGGCUCAGUGCCUAGGGGCCCUGGCAGCUUGGCCCUUUCCCACUGCAGCCUAAAAGAGCCAAGCGGGCGAGGGAGGCGCUGGAGAGAGACCUCAGUCCUGCUGCUGUCUUGCCUGGCCUGCCCAAAUUCUCAGGAGGCUCACACAGGGCUCUUUCGCCUGCUUGGCACCGCCUUGUCCCCUCCCCUGCAGCAGAAACACAAAAUAACUGUCCAGGAGGCGGAGAGCUUCUCCUUCCUUGUACUUGCUCUGGGCAGCCCUCAGCACCCCAAUCUGGGAAGCAGUGGGGGUGGGGGUAGCUUUUCUACCCCAAGAGUCAGGGCAGGGGACAGGCUUUCUUCUUUUGUUUUUUGAGAGAGGGUCUUGUUAUGUAGUCUAUGCUUUCUUUGAACUUGGGGUGACCCUCCUGCCUCAGCCUCCCAAGACCGACAGGACAGAAUUUCUUGGGCCUUCUCUUUGCUAUUGUCACCUUUGGGGAAUGCAUUCCUGGUUUAUCCAUCCUGCCUGCCGUGAUGUCUGUCACUAGCAGAGUCCCCACCCCGUGAAACCCCCUAGGUUUGGGGACCAGGUCCCCUCAGUAGACUAAGCAGCUCCCAGAGGGCAGGGAGAGCCUGUGUCGUGGCUGACUCUUUAUUUGUUUAUUUAUUU